CCUACGGGAGGCAGCAGUGAGGAAUCUUGGUCAAUGGACGAGAGUCUGAACCAGCCACGUAGCGUGAAGGAUGACUGCCCUAUGGGUUGUAACCUUCUUUUAUAUGGGAAUAAAACGUUCCACGUGUGGGAUUUUGUAUGUCUCCUUUGAAUAAGGAUCGGCUAACUCCGUGCCAGCAGCCGCGGUAAUCCGGAGGAUCCGAGCGUUAUCCGGAUUUAUUGGGUUUAAAGGGAGCGUAGGUGGAUUGUUAAGUCAGUUGUGAAAGUUUGCGGCUCAACCGUAAAAUUGCAGUUGAAACUGGCAGUCUUGAGUACAGUAGAGGUAGGCGGAAUUCGUGGUGUAGCGGUGAAAUGCUUAGAUAUCACGAAGAACUCCGAUUGCGAAGGCAGUUCACUGGACUGCAACUGACACUGAGGCUCGAAAGUGUGGGUAUCAAACAGGAUUAGAUACCCGGGUAGUC
RNAcentral lists this ribosomal RNA (460 nucleotides) under uncultured bacterium. Its description in RNAcentral is "partial 16S ribosomal RNA". It matches the Rfam family "Bacterial small subunit ribosomal RNA", at positions 338 to 795 of the family's 1533-position model. The record is from RNAcentral.